Cyanistes caeruleus (blue tit) is the source of this 1907-nucleotide non-coding RNA. The record is from RefSeq and is a predicted model, not a curated record. NCBI's taxonomy places the organism in Eukaryota, Metazoa, Chordata, Aves, Passeriformes, Paridae.
AAUUUGUGAUGUAGGGUGUAGUUGGGGUCUAGAACAUAUUCCUAGAUCAACACAAGAUGUCUGGAGCUGUGAAGUUACCCUGCAGCGCUUUGACUUUUGUCUCAGCUCUCUUUCAGAUGCGGACGGAUGAAAUCGGUGGCAGAGCGCCCCAUCCAGGGUAAGGGGGUUCCCCCGAGAAGGUAAGUCAGUGUUUGUCUUUGCAGGGCAACUGGAACCGGUCCCUGUGUUACAGGUCUCCUCUUUGUCUUUAUUUUUAGGAAAUAGAGCCAUCUAGCAGCAGUCAAGGUGAAGCGGGCAAGGCGGUCCAGUCGCGUUUCGUCGAGACCCCGUCGCCAGCCGGCCGGCACGCCUGCUUCGCCGCUCCCGUGAGCCCUGCGGAAGCGUCACAGGGACCGCGUGACGGAGCCUUUUCCACGUAAAGGGGCCUUGUGGCUGGCCUUCAGGAAGGGGCCGAGGGCUUCCCGCGUGCCCUGCGACGACGCUGCCUGGUCCCGGCGUGGCCGUAUUGUGCGGCCUCAGGACACGGCCGUUCGCAGGAGACCCUGACGGAGAGACGACAGCCUGGCGAUGGCAGGAACUUCCCGGAUAGCCAGGUGGCCUUCCUUGGCUCUCCGUGUGGAUCCUCCCCAGCGGGCAUCCGAGAGCUGAGUCGAAGGCUACGACCCGCAGAGGGGAUGAAAGUGGGGUGCCGGGUCGGGACUUGUGACCUGGGAUAUUUGAGUCAGCUUUGGGGACGGGGAGGUCCAGGCUGUGGCCCCUUAGGCCGCACGGUGGGAGAGCCUCACUUUUGUUCACAGUGCUGAGGUGUGCAGGACAGAGCAGCCUCGGGGCGUGGCGUGUCACUCGUCCAUCGUGCCUUCUGUGUCUUUUGUGCCUCCUGUGUUGUAUGUGCCUUCCCUUAUCCCUUCUGGGGGCUUACCAGAAACCCCAGCGUCACUUAUAGCAUCUGCGAUCUCUGGGCUCCUUGGCUCGGCUGCUCUCAGAGGCCUUGGAAUCGCGUCUCUUUUGAAAAACAUCCGAUCGGAUGUCUUGUAGAUGUCUUCUUCCGAGCUGUGUCAACAGCCGUGCGCCGCGAGGAUCCAUUGUUGCGGCUUAGGACUUGAAGAAACGCAAAGAUAGGUAGGGGACUGCGGCCCUCAGGUUCUUGAGCAUCUGUCUUGGCAGUUCCUGGAGUUAAUUGUUCCAUCAGCAUCUUCUUCCUCCCGGGUUCUGUGAGCUUCAUCAGCUCGCCUUCAUUCUCACCCGGCUCAUCUCGUUCCGCAUUCUCUCAGUCCUUGCGGCCGUCCUUGUGGCCCAGAGUUUUGUCUCCCCAUUGUGUCCCCUCGUCUGUUGUCUGGUGUGUCACGGGUGUCUGGGUGUAGUUGCCCCGGAGCUGCUCUGCCCUGCUGCCCAGCCUGGCUGUAGGUGUAAAAGGCCAAGUCCCAGGCCCCUGUAAUUUGAAAUUUGUGACAUAGGUUUUACUUUGGAAUCUAGAGGCUUUUCCUAGAUCAACACAAGAUGUCUGCAUCUGUGAAGUUAUCCUGCAGUGCUUUGAGUUGUGUCUUAGCUUCCUAAGCAUUUUAUUAUUUGCUGCCGAAUGUGGGGUUCAGAAGAGUAAGGAAAACCCAUGCUGAUUAUAUUGUAUUGGUGCUUACUGUGUGCUGGGAUAAAGGACUUUGUAAUGGUGUUACUUAAGUUCAUGUCUCUCAGGGUGGAGGCCUUUAUGUUGUUCUAGUCUCUGAGCUUUUUGGAGGUUUUAAUGCCUUUCUUGUCCCUAAGUUUAUUUUCUUAUCCAAAAAUAACUCCAAUACUGUCCCUACUACAUAACUUUCACAGUAAAAGAGAACAGAUUACUAUAGCUGUUAUGCUAAGGUCAGUAAUAAUGAUGGAUAAAAACUUUAUAAAAGUACUGAAAUUUGUACCAAAUA